AUGCCCGAAGAAUCAGCACAACCUGUUCCAUCCUGCUCCAUGCCUCACAAGCCCAGAGGCCUCUUUCGUGUACCUCCCAGUCAUUUCUUCUGUACCUUGAAGACACCUGUUCUACACGAGCUCAACGAUAGCACUGAGACCAAGGGAGUGAUUUUUCAUGGGGCACCAAACACCAUUACAGAUUUCUCUGCUGGCGUAGUUCUUUGCUUCUCUGUCCCUGUGUAUGUCAGAAGAGCACAGGAAGUCACUGGAUCAGACAGACUGGAGGUCUUCGGGUGUCCAAACCUACUCCAAGCUGUGGAAAUCCUCCCCAGGGAUCUCCAAGCUAUGCCUGUGAUUUUUCUAUUGACCUGCGAUGGAGAUUUGCAGGCAACAGAAGUAACUUGAGGACCCUCAGAAGAAGCAAAGUUUCCAUCUCAGCCAGUCUCACCCACUCAGGGGACCUCGCUGGACAAGAGCAGGCUCAGAGCUUCUUGGGGCUGCUUGGAUCUACCCUUGCAAGCCAGUGUGCUCUUCGCUGAGCCAGAGGGCACAUUUUAAACAAUUUCCCAGUUUUCCAAAAAAUGACCCCAGAUUUAUCACUCUGCUCUGGCCCCAUGGCAGUUGAGGUGGAAAAGAGCCACUUUCUGAUGUGCAGCGGCAGAUGUUCUCCCACUCUUUGCCAGUAUCCCUGGUCUCACUACCCAAACCUCAACCUGUUUCUGUGUAUUUGUUCCACCGAUGGAAGCACCACAAGCACCAGGAUGCAGAAGUUGUCUGGUAUCCCAGGGAGUAAGAGAGCUCAGUGCACCCAUGCAAGUGCCAAAGUCCCUAAUAUAUUUUGUUUUGCAUAACAGAGGGGAUUUUGAGUGCUUUGCCCAAAGCUGAGGAUACUUCCAGCAGCAUCAAUGCAGUGCUUGGAAAUGGCAUUGGCAUCCUUAUUGAGCUCCCAGCCCCAGUUGUUUGCUUGCUGUGGAAGCAGGCAAGAGAUGUGGCUGAAGUUUCACCUGUUUUUAAGUCAUCUCUGAAUGUCCCCCAUGACCACGAUUUAUGCAGGAGAAAAAAAAAGAAAAAGCAGAAAGGUAACAAAUAUGCCAAACAAAACUUCCAGCAGCAGCCACCAGAAGCUACAAUUAAAUCAGUCCUCAUCCCACAGAAGGACAUUUCUGCAAACAAAACUGAAGGUCAAUGACAGGUGCUGGGGUGGGGACAGGAACAGACCCAAACUUUCUACACCUGCAAUGAAUUGGAAAGGACUUGAGAUUAAGGUCUCCUGUUGUUUGGUGUGGCCUUCUCCCACCCAACUCCAACCCCAAGAGCAAAAAUAAACCAAAACUAAAAGAAAAAGUCA
This 1330-nucleotide long non-coding RNA is filed under the name Chrysolophus pictus (golden pheasant). RNAcentral's name for it is "lncRNA (ENSCPIG00010011792.1)". Lineage: Eukaryota; Metazoa; Chordata; Aves; Galliformes; Phasianidae. The record is from RNAcentral.